AUACUUACCUGGCAGGGGAGACACCAUGAUCAUGAAGGUGGUUCACCCAGGGUGAGGCUCAGCCAUUGCACUUCGGCUGUGCUGACCCCUGCGAAUUCCCCAAAUGUGGGAAUCUCGACUGCAUAAUUUCUGGUAGUGGGGGACUGCGUUCGCGCUCUCCCCUG
Molecule: small nuclear RNA, 164 nt
Filed under: Poecilia reticulata (guppy)
Lineage: Eukaryota; Metazoa; Chordata; Actinopteri; Cyprinodontiformes; Poeciliidae
Description: U1 spliceosomal RNA (ENSPREG00000021655.1)
Rfam family: U1 spliceosomal RNA
About the family: U1 is a small nuclear RNA (snRNA) component of the spliceosome (involved in pre-mRNA splicing). Its 5' end forms complementary base pairs with the 5' splice junction, thus defining the 5' donor site of an intron. There are significant differences in sequence and secondary structure between metazoan and yeast U1 snRNAs, the latter being much longer (568 nucleotides as compared to 164 nucleotides in human).
Source: Rfam by way of RNAcentral